AUUAGAUACCCGGGUAGUCCGCACAGUAAACGAUGGAUGCCAGCUGUCCGGGCCGAAUGGGGCCUGGGUGGCAAAGCGAAAGCGUUAAGCAUCCCACCUGGGGAGUACGCCGGCAACGGUGAAACUCAAAGGAAUUGACGGGGGCCCGCACAAGCGGAGGAACAUGUGGUUUAAUUCGAUGAUACGCGAGGAACCUUACCCGGGCUCAAACGCGUCAGGGAUCCCCUUCGAAAGGAGGGGAGUCAGCAAUGACCUGGCGCGAGGUGCUGCAUGGUUGUCGUCAGCUCGUGCCGUGAGGUGUCGGCUUAAGUGCCAUAACGAGCGCAACCCCUACCGACAGUUGCUAACUGGUGAAGCAGAGGACUCUGUCGGGACUGCCGGCGCAAGCUGCGAGGAAGGCGGGGAUGACGUCAAAUCAGCACGGCCCUUACGUCCGGGGCGACACACGUGUUACAAUGGCAGGUACAGCGGGAAGCCACCGGGCGACCGGGCGCGGAACCCGAAAACCUGUCUCAGUUCGGAUCGGAGUCUGCAACCCGACUCCGUGAAGCUGGAUUCGCUAGUAAUCGCGCAUCAGCCACGGCGCGGUGAAUACGUUCCCGGGCCUCGUACACACCGCCCGUCAAGCCAUGGGAGCCGGGGGUGCCUGAAGUCCGUGACCGCAAGGGGCGGCCUAGGGUAAAACCGGUGACUGGGGCUAAGUCGUAACAAGGUAACAAGGGCGAAUCGCGGCC
This 734-nucleotide ribosomal RNA is filed under the name uncultured bacterium. Its description in RNAcentral is "bacterial SSU rRNA". It matches the Rfam family "Bacterial small subunit ribosomal RNA", at positions 777 to 1533 of the family's 1533-position model. The record is from RNAcentral.